This 77-nucleotide transfer RNA is filed under the name Candidatus Gemmiger faecavium. Its description in RNAcentral is "tRNA-Arg". It matches the Rfam family "tRNA". Rfam says of the family: Transfer RNA (tRNA) molecules are approximately 80 nucleotides in length. RNAcentral also lists the same sequence under 1 other name. Lineage: Bacteria; Bacillati; Bacillota; Clostridia; Eubacteriales; Oscillospiraceae. The record is from RNAcentral.
GCGCUGGUAGCUCAGCUGGAUAGAGUGUCUGACUACGAAUCAGAAGGUCGGGAGUUCGAGUCUCUUCCGGCGCACCA